UACGGGGGGGGCAAGCGUUGUUCGGAAUUACUGGGCGUAAAGGGUCUGUAGGCGGCCGUCUAAGUCGGACGUGAAAUCCCCCGGCUCAACCGGGGAACUGCGUCCGAUACUGAAUGGCUUGAAUCCGGGAGAGGGAUGCGGAAUUCCAGGUGUAGCGGUGAAAUGCGUAGAUAUCUGGAGGAACACCGGUGGCGAAGGCGGCAUCCUGGACCGGUAUUGACGCUGAGAGACGAAAGCCAGGGGAGCAAACGGG
This 253-nucleotide ribosomal RNA is filed under the name uncultured bacterium. RNAcentral describes it as "partial 16S ribosomal RNA". It matches the Rfam family "Bacterial small subunit ribosomal RNA", at positions 524 to 776 of the family's 1533-position model. The record is from RNAcentral.